GCUUGCUAGAGAUGAUUAGUGGCGGACGGGUGAGUAACAUUUAGGAAUCUGCCUAGUAGUGGGGGAUAGCUCGGGGAAACUCGAAUUAAUACCGCAUACGACCUACGGGUGAAAGGGGGCGCAAGCUCUUGCUAUUAGAUGAGCCUAAAUCAAAUUAGCUUGUUGGUGGGGUAAAGGCCCACCAAGGCGACGAUCUGUAACUGGUCUGAGAGGAUGAUCAGUCACACCGGAACUGAGACACGGUCCGGACUCCUACGGGAGGCAGCAGUGGGGAAUAUUGGACAAUGGGGGCAACCCUGAUCCAGCCAUGCCGCGAGUGUGAAGAAGGCCUUUUGGUUGUAAAGCACUUUAACAGGGAGGAAAGGCUAAUGGUUAAUACCCAUUAGAUUAGACGUUACCUGCAGAAUAAGCACCGGCUAACUCUGUGCCAGCAGCCGCGGUAAUACAGAGGGUGCGAGCGUUAAUCGGAAUUACUGGGCGUAAAGCGAGUGUAGGUGGCUCAUUAAGUCACAUGUGAAAUCCCCGGGCUUAACCUGGGAACUGCAUGUGAUACUGGUGGUGCUAGAAUAUGUGAGAGGGAAGUAGAAUUCCAGGUGUAGCGGUGAAAUGCGUAGAGAUCUGGAGGAAUACCGAUGGCGAAGGCAGCUUCCUGGCAUAAUAUUGACACUGAGAUUCGAAGCGUGGGUAGCAAACAGGAUUAGAUACCCUGGUAGUCCACGCCGUAAACGAUGUCUACUAGCCGUUGGGGUCCUUGAGACUUUAGUGGCGCAGUUAACGCGAUAAGUAGACCGCCUGGGGAGUACGGCCGCAAGGUUAAAACUCAAAUGAAUUGACGGGGGCCCGCACAAGCGGUGGAGCAUGUGGUUUAAUUCGAUGCAACGCGAAGAACCUUACCUGGUCUUGACAUAGUGAGAAUCCUGCAGAGAUGCGGGAGUGCCUUCGGGAAUUCACAUACAGGUGCUGCAUGGCUGUCGUCAGCUCGUGUCGUGAGAUGUUGGGUUAAGUCCCGCAACGAGCGCAACCCUUUUCCUUAUUUGCCAGCGGGUUAAGCCGGGAACUUUAAGGAUACUGCCAGUGACAAACUGGAGGAAGGCGGGGACGACGUCAAGUCAUCAUGGCCCUUACGACCAGGGCUACACACGUGCUACAAUGGUAGGUACAGAGGGUUGCUACACAGCGAUGUGAUGCUAAUCUCAAAAAGCCUAUCGUAGUCCGGAUUGGAGUCUGCAACUCGACUCCAUGAAGUCGGAAUCGC
RNAcentral lists this ribosomal RNA (1255 nucleotides) under Faucicola osloensis. RNAcentral describes it as "bacterial SSU rRNA". It matches the Rfam family "Bacterial small subunit ribosomal RNA", at positions 78 to 1335 of the family's 1533-position model. Lineage: Bacteria; Pseudomonadati; Pseudomonadota; Gammaproteobacteria; Moraxellales; Moraxellaceae. The record is from RNAcentral.